Molecule: ribosomal RNA, 502 nt
Filed under: uncultured bacterium
Lineage: Bacteria
Description: partial 16S ribosomal RNA
Rfam family: Bacterial small subunit ribosomal RNA
Source: RNAcentral
AUUGAACGCUGGCGGCAGGCUUAACACAUGCAAGUCGAGCGGGGUGAUGGUGCUUGCACUAUCACUUAGCGGCGGGCGGGUGAGUGAUGCUUAGGAAUCUGCCUAUUAGUGGGGGACAACAUCUCGAAAGGGAUGCUAAUACCGCAUACGUCCUACGGGAGAAAGCAGGGGAUCACUUGUGACCUUGCGCUAAUAGAUGAGCCUAAGUCGGAUUAGCUAGUUGGUGGGGUAAAGGCCUACCAAGGCGACGAUCUGUAGCGGGUCUGAGAGGAUGAUCCGCCACACUGGGACUGAGACACGGCCCAGACUCCUACGGGAGGCAGCAGUGGGGAAUAUUGGACAAUGGGGGAACCCUGAUCCAGCCAUGCCGCGUGUGUGAAGAAGGCCUUAUGGUUGUAAAGCACUUUAAGCGAGGAGGAGGCUCUUUUGGUUAAUACCCAAGAUGAGUGGACGUUACUCGCAGAAUAAGCACCGGCUAACUCUGUGCCAGCAGCCGCGGUAA